This 1198-nucleotide long non-coding RNA is filed under the name Chloebia gouldiae (Gouldian finch). RNAcentral describes it as "Erythrura gouldiae (Gouldian finch) lncRNA (ENSEGOG00005011046.1)". The record is from RNAcentral. Lineage: Eukaryota; Metazoa; Chordata; Aves; Passeriformes; Passeridae.
CCCCACUGAUCCCACUGAUAUGGGGGAUUCCCAUCCCUGAACCGCUGCUUCCUGAAGUUCUCUUGGUGCUUAUCCGCAUUCCCAUCCCCCAGGGAUGUCCUCCAGAACCUGAACUUGGACUCGUGGCGAGGAAGCUGCCAGAGGGGCGACGUCAAGGAAGACGACUUCCGCAACAUCUCGGUGAUGCCCUUCUCCCGCUACUACCUCAACUGCUCCAUCGAGUCCCACUACGCCACCUACAACUGGUACCACGAGGACGUGCUCAUCAAGAGCUGCAACACCUCCCACCCGCAGCACGACUGCUUCCACUUCAUCCCCAGCGUCCGGCGCGAGCACUACGGCCACUACGUCUGCGUGUCCGAGGAGGACGGCUUCCGCCAGGCGCUGGUCAAGGAGCGCCUGCUGGACCGCCAGCGCUUCUUGUCGCAGCGCGGCCGCGCUCCGGCCACGCUGGCCUCGUGGCUCCAGCUGCUGCUGGUGCUGGCCCUGGCCGAGCUCUUCCACUGACGCCGUCCCGCUGGCCCUGCCGCCGCCGCGGCUCCCUCGGACUCUUGGUGCUCCCCACCGCCCGCCUCGCUGGAAGAGCCGCGGCAGGAGGGUGUGACACGCGGCGGCCUCGGCGGCGGCGGCUCCGCUGGCCAGCCAUGCAUGCGCUGAUGCUCAGGGCAUGGCCGCUCCUUGCAUGUGAUGAAGAUGAGGAGGAGGAGGAGGAACCGGCCCUCGGCCUCCAGACUGCGGGAUGCCCGCGGGGACCGCUGCCUCCCGAGCUUUCGCGGGGUGAUGUUGGGGUCGGCAGCGGCUGGGACAGCCCCGGCGAGUCCCCUCCUGCUCCGUGGGGGCUCGGAGGCUGCAGGGGGGCUCGGUUCGUUGUUUUUUGUUCGCAGCCGGCUUUGGUGUGGGAGGGAGGUCGGGAAUCGGCGCCGCCGCGUUGGGAAUUUGCAUGGAAAAGCCUCGGAAGGUGGCUGGAUUUGGGGUGUGGGGAAAGGGAAGGUGGGAGCAGAGCCCGGAGCGGAGCGGGAGGCGCUGGGGGAGACGCUGGAGACGCACAAAUCCUCUGCGGGCAGCUGAGGGGCAUCGCAGCGGGGCCGUGCCCGCUCCCACCCUGUCCCGGGCGUCCUCAGGGAAAGCGGCCGCGGAUCUCAGGGCACCGGGGGGGCUGCGCCUGCCCCCAGCUCUGUCCCUGUCCCCCGGGCCGGGC